This 253-nucleotide ribosomal RNA is filed under the name uncultured bacterium. RNAcentral's name for it is "partial 16S ribosomal RNA". It matches the Rfam family "Bacterial small subunit ribosomal RNA", at positions 524 to 776 of the family's 1533-position model. The record is from RNAcentral.
UACGUAGGGUCCGAGUGUCGUCCGGAAUUAUUGGGCGUAAAGGGCUCGUAGGCGGUUCGUCACGUCGGGAGUGAAAACUCGGAGCUCAACUCCGAGCCGGCUUCCGAUACGGGCAGACUAGAGGUAGGCAGGGGAGAGUGGAACUCCUGGUGUAGCGGUGGAAUGCGCAGAUAUCAGGAAGAACACCAGUGGCGAAGGCGGCUCUCUGGGCCUUACCUGACGCUGAGGAGCGAAAGCGUGGGGAGCAAACAGG